RNAcentral lists this ribosomal RNA (253 nucleotides) under uncultured Rikenellaceae bacterium. RNAcentral describes it as "partial 16S ribosomal RNA". It matches the Rfam family "Bacterial small subunit ribosomal RNA", at positions 524 to 776 of the family's 1533-position model. The record is from RNAcentral. Lineage: Bacteria; Pseudomonadati; Bacteroidota; Bacteroidia; Bacteroidales; Rikenellaceae.
UACGGAGGAUUCAAGCGUUAUCCGGAUUUAUUGGGUUUAAAGGGUGCGUAGGCGGUUUGAUAAGUUAGAGGUGAAAUGUUAGGGCUUAACCCUGAAACUGCCUCUAAUACUGUUGAGCUAGAGAGUAGUUGCGGUAGGCGGAAUGUAUGGUGUAGCGGUGAAAUGCUUAGAGAUCAUACAGAACACCGAUUGCGAAGGCAGCUCACUGGACUGCAACUGACACUGAGGCUCGAAAGUGUGGGUAUCAAACAGG